This is a non-coding RNA of Manis javanica (Malayan pangolin), 4217 nucleotides long. Lineage: Eukaryota; Metazoa; Chordata; Mammalia; Pholidota; Manidae. The record is from RefSeq and is a predicted model, not a curated record.
GGGGCGGGGGCGGGAAGAGUGGGGGCGGCAUGAGGGCCGGUGGCCCGGGAGGCUGAGGCGCCCGCCGCCUGCCGCGAGGCCGCGCGCGUCCUCCAUGGAGGCCGGAGAGCCUCCAUGGUGUCAAAAGGAUGGAUAAUGUGCAUGUUAUGGAGGAAGUGACCCAAGUUAUCAGGAUGGAAUACAGAAAUUUUCAUCCAGAGAAACCACUGCUGCUGGCCGAACUCAAGCCUGGGCGCCCCCAACAGUUUGAUUGGAAGUCGAGUUGUGAAACCUGGAGUGUGGCCUUCUCCCCAGAUGGCUCCUGGUUCGCGUGGUCUCAAGGACACUGCAUUGUCAAGCUGCUCCCCUGGCCGCUGGAGGAGCAAUUCAUCCCCAAAGGGUUUGAAGCCAAAAGCCGAAGCAGCAAGAAUGAUUCAAAAGGGCAAGGCAGCUCCAAGGAGAAGACUCUGGACUGUGGGCAGAUUGUCUGGGGCUUGGCCUUUAGCCCGUGGCCUUCUCCACCCAGCAGGAAGCUCUGGGCACGCCACCAUCCCCAAGUGCCAGACGUCUCUUGCCUGAUCCUUGCCACGGGCCUCAACGAUGGGCAGAUCAAGAUUUGGGAGGUGCAGACAGGGCUGCUGCUUUUGACUCUUUCCGGCCACCAAGAUGUCGUGAGAGAUUUGAGCUUCACACCCAGUGGCAGUCUGAUUUUGGUCUCUGCAUCUCGGGAUAAGACUCUUCGCAUCUGGGACCUGAAGAAACAUGGUAAACAGAUUCAGGUGUUAUCGGGCCACCUGCAGUGGGUUUACUGCUGCUCCAUCUCCCCGGACUGCAGCAUGCUGUGCUCUGCGGCUGGAGAGAAGUCGGUCUUCCUGUGGAGCAUGCGGUCCUACACAUUAAUCCGGAAGCUAGAGGGCCACCAAAGCAGUGUUGUCUCUUGUGAUUUCUCCCCCGACUCUGCCUUGCUUGUAACGGCUUCUUACGAUACCAGCGUGAUCAUGUGGGACCCCUACACUGGCGAGAGGCUGAGGUCACUCCGCCACACCCAGCUCGACCCCCGUGUGGAUGACAGUAAUGUCCACAUCAGCUCUCUGAGGUCUGUGUGCUUCUCGCCCGAGGGCCUGUACCUUGCCACAGUGGCGGAUGACAGACUCCUCAGGAUCUGGGCCCUGGAACGAAAAACUCCAAUAGCAUUCGCUCCUAUGACCAAUGGUCUUUGCUGCACAUUUUUCCCACAUGGUGGAGUUAUUGCCACAGGAACGAGGGAUGGCCACGUCCAGUUCUGGACAGCUCCUCGGGUCCUGUCAUCACUGAAGCACUCAUGCCGGAAAGCCCUUCGAAGUUUCCUGACAACCUACCAAGUGCUAGCACUGCCAAUCCCCGAGAAAAUGAAAGGGUUCCUCACGUACAGGACUUUCUAAGCAACACGGCCGUCCUAUACUUGCUUUCUUUCUAGCAGGAUAAAAUCUUCCUGGCAAAAGAAUAGCUGGCAUAAUGGGCCAAACAUCUGUUCUUGGAUUGAAAUAGAAGUUGUCUUUGGGAUUGUGAAUAGAAUGUAGCAAAACCAGAUUCUAGUGGGCUAAUCGUGGAUCUUUCUCCUUGACACGUGAAAAGCAGUCACCAAGGGGAUUCCACUUCAGUGGCAGCAGAGCCUUACACCUUCAGUCCACUUAGAAACAGCAAUGUUGAACUCGCUCUAGUCCUUCUGACUCACAGUACGGUUACUGAGUAUGUUUUGAUAAGAGUAAGAGGGCCUCAAGAGCCUCUGUGUAGUGGCAGAGAAGUUGACGCUCCCUCAGCUGGGAAGUGUGGCUUCUGCCUAGGACUUACCAUGUGUUUCAGACAUAGUGGUGGCAUUGUGAGAACCCCUGUCCUGCUGGGUCAGUGAUGCUGGCAAGCGCUUUCCUUCCUCUGGCUCCCCUCGGACCAGCAGGACAGUUCAUGGCGCCAUCUGAGAAGAGGUAUUAGCUUAACUAAAUGACAGGUGACUCAGAGGCUGUACUCCAGGCUGAUUAAGACACUAUGAUUGGCUUUUUUUUAACAAUGGUGUAUGCAUGUGCAGGAGAUGACAAAUCUGUGUGUCAGGUUACCCAAGGAUGUGUCCCUAACCUGCAUGACUGUUUAAAUGGCUACUGAGCUGUUGGUUGUCUGCCAUUUGUAGCCUAUUUAUUUGUAUUUUCUCAACAGAUGUUAAGGUACAACUGUGUUUUUCUUGAUGGUAUCUAAAAACCAUAGUACUUGUUGAACAGUUGUGAAGAUGUCUCUUCUUAAUUAUGUAAACAGUUGUCCCUUCAGCUGAUUUUCUUGUGGACGAGAUGAUCUGAUUUUGCUGCUUCACCUCAUUGGACUCAUCAGCCAGUUUCAGCUCUACCCCUAAACAAAAAUAGCCCCUUACAAGUACUGUUCUGCUUCAGUGGUGUGUAGUUACUAAUCAAGACACCUCAUUCAGACAAGUCUGCCUUUGGAAAUUUAAUAUAUUUAUUUUAAAAGAAAUGCAACAUCAUAUCCUUUGGCUUUCUUAAUAGGUGCUUUAUGGAGGUCAGUGUAAUAUUAUAAAACCUGUUGAAAAAGUAGAGGAGUCUCUCCUCUGCCACCUUUGUUGCUGAAGAAAAGCAUUUCAAGAUGAGAGGCUUUCACAGAAGGAUAAGGUCAGUUUGGCUCGCCAUUUUUUUAUCCUAAGGAAAAAAACCUUUUAAAAUGAGUGCAGCAGGACAGCUGGGAAUGGGUUGGGCAUAUUUGUACAGUUAUCUGGAAAUGACACACACAGCAUAGGCUGAGGCUCUGGGUGCUACCAGGAAGCCCUGUGUGGCUCUGCCGGUGUCCUGGGGGAGCAAGUCCUGUGUGAAUGCCGGGAGUAACAAAUCUCUUUCGAUAGUAUAAGAAUUUGAUGCCUUUAUACAGAACAGACUCCAAAGAAAGACUGUUCUGUGAUACCAGAGAUGGAGGAGCUUUUUCAUGUAAGAUCAGGUUAAGUAAGUGCCUGUAAAACUGGCUAAGGAAAGAAGUCACUUGUAACAGUCCACAAGCAAGCCGCUUUAUUUUUAUGGUGAAGAGUGCUAUCACACAUGCAGCAGAAUCACUGUGAAAUAAACGGCUAUGUUGGUACUGAAGUCCUGACCCUUUCAGCAGCUGGCAGGUGAGUCAGGCUUACCCUACUAACCUGCCCUUCCUGCCCCAGAGGAGUGUGGCACCACAUCUGGCCCCAGGGGGCGCAAGCGAAAGUGAAAGUGCUCUCUGUUCACACCAUAAUCAGGAACCUGCUAGUAAUCCUUGGACUUAAAAAGGAGAAAUAAAAAGACCAGUUUUUAAGAGAAUUGAGGUUAUUUUAUAAGAGUAUAAUAGUUUAGGCCAGAAAUCCAUUAACACCUAUUUAAACUAGAUUCAGAGAUGGUGCCACAAAUUAGUUUUCUAAACUUUGGAGAUUUCUAAUUUCGGAGAUGUUUGGUUUACCCUAAGGUGGAAGACAUUUGGACCGUAUUAGAUCUGGAAGCCUUCUCUUCCAGACCAAAAUGGGAUAGGCCAACUUCCUGUUACCUAAGCAACUUAAAGGGAAAACCUUAAGGCUGAAAAAAAGAAUUUCUGCCUCUGUUUCCCCCUCUAAAACCAUGGGUAUAGUGCAGUAAGAGAGUUGUACAUUAAAAUGGUUGUGUACAUUCCUGCUCCAAACAGUACUUUUCAAACAUUUGCGGGUUUCAGGAGACUGAGGAUGACUGUGGCUUCAUCCCCUGGGUUGGGCGGCAGUUCAUCCUGUGACUGAGUCCCCUGUUCUCCAGUCAUUGUGGGGUCUGAGGACCAGUGAGUGGUCCUGGGCAUCUAGGCCUCCGUGACAAUCAGGUCUCUGGUGACCUGAAAAGCAGCAAUGAGGGAACUCAGCUGAAUCUUCUCAUUGGUGCCAACAGAAAGUCUGUACCUAAAGGAGUGAAACGAAAAAUAAGACUAGAAAAUAUCACCAGCAGCAGCCUCCUGCAAGAAAAAAGAUCAAAGAUGGCAAAUCCACUGAAGGACACCUUUUAAGUGUCCAGUCAUUGAAAGCAACAUCAUGAUAUUCACAACAUAGUGUGGUGUGCCAAAAUGCCCUAAGAGCUAGAGAGCUGGUUGUCCCUGAACAACCUAGGGGUCUCAACUGAAGCACACCUUCCAAGGAACAAGACUGUUUCCAGAACCAAUGUGGACCAAGGUGUUGGGGUCUCAAGGAGGGGCUUUUAUCUCAAAUACAUAACUGAGCUUGCUUGUUUUUA